This 499-nucleotide ribosomal RNA is filed under the name uncultured bacterium. RNAcentral's name for it is "partial 16S ribosomal RNA". It matches the Rfam family "Bacterial small subunit ribosomal RNA", at positions 28 to 507 of the family's 1533-position model. The record is from RNAcentral.
GACGAACGCUGGCGGCGUGCCUAAUACAUGCAAGUCGAGCGAAGUUUUUCUGGUGCUUGCACCGGAAAAACUUGGCGGCGAACGGGUGAGUAACACGUAAAGAACCUGCCUCAUAGACUGGGACAACUAUUGGAAACGAUAGCUAAUACCGGAUAAUAGCAUUAACUGCAUGGUUGAUGUUUAAAAGUUGGUUUUGCUAACACUAUGAGAUGGCUUUGCGGUGCAUUAGCUAGUUGGUGGGGUAAAGGCCUACCAAGGCGACGAUGCAUAGCCGACCUGAGAGGGUGAUCGGCCACACUGGGACUGAGACACGGCCCAGACUCCUACGGGAGGCAGCAGUAGGGAAUCUUCCGCAAUGGGCGAAAGCCUGACGGAGCAACGCCGCGUGAGUGAAGAAGGAUUUCGGUUCGUAAAGCUCUGUUGUUAGGGAAGAAUAAUUGAGUAGUAACUAUACACAGUAGAGACGGUACCUAACCAGAAAGCCACGGCUAACUACGUG